AGUUCACAGUACGGCCAACCCUUCACCCUGAGAGCACAGUACUGCCAACCCAUCACCCUGAGAGCACAGUACGGCCAGCCCUUCACCCUGAGAGCACAGCACAGUCGCACCAUCACCCUGAGAGCACAGUACGGCCAACCCAUCACCCUGAGAGCACAGUACGGCCAACCCUUCACCCUGAGAGCACAGUACGGCCAACCCUUCACCCUGAGAGCACAGUACGGCCAACCCAUCACCCUGAGAGCACAGUACGGCCA
This is a long non-coding RNA of Anguilla rostrata (American eel), 257 nucleotides long. RefSeq lists it as uncharacterized. Lineage: Eukaryota; Metazoa; Chordata; Actinopteri; Anguilliformes; Anguillidae. The transcript is spliced from 2 exons. The record is from RefSeq and is a predicted model, not a curated record.